Molecule: ribosomal RNA, 673 nt
Filed under: uncultured bacterium
Lineage: Bacteria
Description: bacterial SSU rRNA
Rfam family: Bacterial small subunit ribosomal RNA
Source: RNAcentral
AGUGGCGGACGGGUUAGUAACGCGUGGGAACGUACCCUUUUCUACGGAAUAGCCUUUGGAAACGAAGAGUAAUACCGUAUACGCCCUUCGGGGGAAAGAUUUAUCGGAGAAGGAUCGGCCCGCGUUAGAUUAGAUAGUUGGUGGGGUAAUGGCCUACCAAGUCUACGAUCUAUAGCUGGUUUUAGAGGAUGAUCAGCAACACUGGGACUGAGACACGGCCCAGACUCCUACGGGAGGCAGCAGUGGGGAAUCUUAGACAAUGGGCGCAAGCCUGAUCUAGCCAUGCCGCGUGAGUGAAGAAGGCCUUAGGGUCGUAAAGCUCUUUCGCCUGUGAUGAUAAUGACAGUAGCAGGUAAAGAAACCCCGGCUAACUCCGUGCCAGCAGCCGCGGUAAUACGGAGGGGGUUAGCGUUGUUCGGAAUUACUGGGCGUAAAGCGCACGUAGGCGGAUUGGAAAGUUAGAGGUGAAAUCCCAGGGCUCAACCCUGGAACUGCCUUUAAAACUCCCAGUCUUGAGUUCGAGAGAGGUGAGUGGAAUUCCAAGUGUAGAGGUGAAAUUCGUAGAUAUUUGGAGGAACACCAGUGGCGAAAGCGGCUCACUGGCUCGAUACUGACGCUGAGGUGCGAAAGUGUGGGGAGCAAACAGGAUUAGAUACCCUGGUAGUCCACACGA